UACGGGGGUGGCAAGCGUUACUCGGAAUUAUUGGGUGUAAAGGGCAGGUAGGCGGCUUGGUAAGUGAGGGGUGAAAUCCCACGGUUCAAUCGUGGAACAGCCUUUCAAACUGCCUUGCUUGAGAGUGACAGAGGAAGAUGGAAUUCUCGGUGUAAGGGUGAAAUCUGUAGAUAUCGGGAAGAACACCAACGGCGAAGGCAAUCUUCUGGGUCACUUCUGACGCUGAGCUGCGAAAGCUAGGGGAGCAAACAGA
This 253-nucleotide ribosomal RNA is filed under the name uncultured bacterium. Its description in RNAcentral is "partial 16S ribosomal RNA". It matches the Rfam family "Bacterial small subunit ribosomal RNA", at positions 524 to 776 of the family's 1533-position model. The record is from RNAcentral.